UGGGGAAUUUUGGACAAUGGGCGAAAGCCUGAUCCAGCAAUGCCGCGUGUGUGAAGAAGGCCUUCGGGUUGUAAAGCACUUUUGUCCGGAAAGAAAUCCUUGGCUCUAAUACAGUCGGGGGAUGACGGUACCGGAAGAAUAAGCACCGGCUAACUACGUGCCAGCAGCCGCGGUAAUACGUAGGGUGCAAGCGUUAAUCGGAAUUACUGGGCGUAAAGCGUGCGCAGGCGGUUUGCUAAGACCGAUGUGAAAUCCCCGGGCUCAACCUGGGAACUGCAUUGGUGACUGGCAGGCUAGAGUAUGGCAGAGGGGGGUAGAAUUCCACGUGUAGCAGUGAAAUGCGUAGAGAUGUGGAGGAAUACCGAUGGCGAAGGCAGCCCCCUGGGCCAAUACUGACGCUCACGCACGAAAGCGUGGGAGCAAACAGGAUUAGAUACCCUGGUAGUCCACGCCCUAAACGAUGUCAACUAGUUGUUGGGGAUUCAUUUUCCUUAGUAACGUAGCUAACGCGUGAAGUUGACCGCCUGGGGAGUACGGUCGCAAGAUUAAAACUCAAAGGAAUUGACGGGGUCAUAGCUG
This 579-nucleotide ribosomal RNA is filed under the name uncultured bacterium. RNAcentral describes it as "partial 16S ribosomal RNA". It matches the Rfam family "Bacterial small subunit ribosomal RNA", at positions 355 to 932 of the family's 1533-position model. The record is from RNAcentral.